AGACAAACCCAAGGAGCUCCGAGCUGGGCUGAAAAAGGAAACGGUCCUUGGGAGUGGGACUUGGUGUGCAACUCCAACAAACUGAAGGAGAUGGCCCAGUCUAUCUUCAUGGCAGGUAUACUGAUUGGAGGGCUCGUGCUUGGAGACCUGUCUGACAGGUUUGGCCGCAGGCCCAUCCUGACCUGCAGCUACCUGCUGCUGGCAGCCAGCGGCUCCGGUGCAGCCUUCAGCCCCACCUUCCCCAUCUACAUGGUCUUCCGCUUCCUGUGUGGCUUUGGCAUCUCAGGCAUUACCCUGAGCACCGUUAUCUUGAAUGUGGAAUGGGUGCCUACCCGGAUGCGGGCCAUCAUGUCGACAGCACUCGGGUACUGCUACACCUUUGGCCAGUUCAUUCUGCCCGGCCUGGCCUACGCCAUCCCCCAGUGGCGUUGGCUGCAGUUAACUGUGUCCAUUCCCUUCUUCGUCUUCUUCCUAUCAUCCUGGUGGACACCAGAGUCCAUACGCUGGUUGGUCUUGUCUGGAAAGUCCUCGAAGGCCCUGAAG
This 543-nucleotide small RNA is filed under the name Pan troglodytes (chimpanzee). RNAcentral's name for it is "processed transcript". The record is from RNAcentral. Lineage: Eukaryota; Metazoa; Chordata; Mammalia; Primates; Hominidae.